This 118-nucleotide ribosomal RNA is filed under the name Sinocyclocheilus anshuiensis. The record is from RNAcentral. Lineage: Eukaryota; Metazoa; Chordata; Actinopteri; Cypriniformes; Cyprinidae.
GCUUACGGCCAUACCACCCUGUCUGUGCCCAAUCUUGUCUGAUCUCAGAAGCUAAGCAGGGUCGGGCCUGGUUAGUCCUUGGUUGGGAGACCGCCUGGGAAUACCAGGUCUGUAAGCU